UCAUUCUCUCUCUCUCUCUCUCUCUCUCUCUCUGGACAUUAGAGCUCAUACAAAAGUGACUGAAAAUAAAAUAAUGGUCUCUAGUUUCAAGUGCAAAUUUCAUUGAAAUUCAAUGAAAGCUGAUAAAUAUUCAAUUACCAGAUGAAUCUAACAUUAGGGAAGCCUGACUAAUUUUUAUAAAUCUUUUACUUCCUCAGCAGAAUACUACAUUUGUCCACUUUCGUGAGAAGCGGCAUAACACUAAUAGAAGUCUAAUGUGAUUUAACAGUGAAAUCAAACAUUCUGUUAAGGAAAAAAAAUUUACAGGAGUGUGUUGGUCUUACUUUAGUAAGAGCAACACACUCAAAAUGAUUAUAUUUAUCCUGAAGCCCGACGAUGAGUGAAAAGACUAAUAUGUCAAGCAAAGUGUAGGCAUCAAGAAAACAUUGGUACCAUCUGUAAUGCUAAUCCAAAGUCUCUUAAAUAACAUAAACAACAGGAAGGAUAUCAGAAGUGGCAUUGAACCAUUACCUGACAGCAACGAGAUGAGUUUGUAACUGAAAGCUGGCGCGCUGCGAAUUUGUUGAAUAAUUAUUUUUCCUCAGUAUUCAACACUAACAGUCUUACCGGCACUGCCACCAGUAUCAGCAAAGACAAUAGUGUUAACUAUAAUCCCAUUCAUACCAUGUCUAACUUUGUAAUAACUUCCGAUGAAGUCCUUAAAAGUCCAGGCCAGACAAUGUAUAUCCUAUACUACUCAAAGAAACAAAAAGCAAAAAUAUUCUCCUCUCUCACAACCGUAUUCAACAUGUCCUUGCUACAAGGUAUCAUCCCUUCAGAUUAGAAAAUGGCUAACGUAGCACCAAUUUCUAAGAGAGGAGACAAAAAGUACGGGUAAUUACAGGCCCAUCAAUCUAACUUCUGUAGUAAGUUACUGGAAAGCAGAAUUAGGCAAAAUUGUGAUAAACCUUGAAAGCCACUCACUAAUUAAGGAUUCACAACAUGACAUCAGUAACAAGAGAUCCUGCUUAUCGAACUCCUUGACCUUUUAUAAUGAGUGCCAGGUUCUUCAAGUGUUGACAAAAAAAACUAAGAGGUUCAAUUACGAAAUGUUUGAUGUGAAACUGUAACACUUUCUCUGUACAUUAGUUUAGUCAGACCCGACUUGGAAUAUGCGGUAGAGUUUAGGUUUCCUCACCAAGCGAAGGUGUUCAAAUGAGGGCAAGAAAGAUGAUCUCUUCCUUGCGCAACAAGUCUAACGAUUAAAUGUCCUGAUCUCUAAACAUGUUCCUUGUCGAGAAACGUCGCCUCUGAAGAAAACUGAUCGAAUGCUUCAGAAUACUCAAUGGUAUUACGAAUAUGGACAAAUCCAAAUUGUUUAUGAUCGCUGACACGUUCCGAACAAGAAAAAAAUGGGAAAAACUAGUUUAAACAAAUAAAUUCAGACCACCAAAUUUUUCUUCAUCAACAUUGUAGACCGAGACUGGAACAUGUUCCCUCUUUCAGUGGUUCAGUGUAGUACAAUUGAUUAAUUUAAAAACAAGCUCGACCACCAUUUCUUUCACCAUAAUAUUCACUAAAGUAGAAAUGCAAAGUCUUGGUGGCAUUUGAUUUGAUACAAUGUCACUUAUAGGUUUCAUGACAGACCACCUAGUCUGGAUCAUGGGGUCUGCAUAGUAUGAAUAUCUAUGUACAUCUGUGUAAAUCUCUUUCUCUGUCUCUCUCAAUACAACAGCAGCAGAAUGACACAACCCUCAGCUUCAACUCCACAUUCAUGGUGCACACAAAGCAGCGAUGUGUGAAUGUCAACAACAAAGCCGAGGGAGCACACGGCGACGACUGCUCCGAUCCAGUAUACCUAGAAACAACAACACAAAACCCCUUAAAUAACACACAAACGACCAGUUACCUUCAGAAUGAUACAGAAACGACCUUCUAUCCUCAGAACAACACAUUGCUGCCUCACGAUGCUCAGAACGACACAGUGACUUAUAACCCUCAGGACACCGAACUGACCUCUGACGCUCAAACAUACACGUUGAUGACCUAUGCUCCAGAAAACGACAAAUUAAUGACCCAUGACUCACAAGACUACACACUGGUGACCUAUGAGACUCAGAAUGACACACAAAUGACCUAUAACGUGGUAGAAACGACCACUGUGGAAACACGAGCAGAGGAUGGUGUUGGUGAUGAUGGAGAUGGUGAUGAUGAUGAUGCGGUCUUGAUUGAAGAGAAAAUUGAAACGCACGUGACAGUGCUCGCAAAGGCUUCAAGAAAGAUAUUAACAUUCAAGGAUCUGAGUGUCUGGAUGAUAAUGGUGUGCAUCCUGUUCUCAUCCCUACUGAUGGUGGCGAUAAGUGGCAUACUAUUCAAGGUUGGCUUUUUUACGAGGCCGAAACGUCUGACCGUGGAACAAAAAGAAGAAAUGCGGCAGAGUGUGAGGAGAAGGAAAGAACAAAAGAAGAAUAAGGAGAAGCAGAAAGAAAACAAGCCAGAGAGGAAGUUUUCCAAUGUGAUGGUGAUGUGAGGGCGGGUAGGUCACUGAGUUAGACAAAAAAAAAAUUACUACGUAGUUAUGUCAAUAUUUAAAAUUGAUUCGGGCGUCUUAGUGGACCAAUGCUAUCACAGAUCUGUGGGAAGAAAAUAAUAAAACUGAAAGAUUGAGAAAUGUCCAACACACAGAUAUAAUAGUCAAAAUUUGCAUUCUCUGAAGAAGCGUGCACGGGCUACAUUGAAAAUUGCUUCUAAAUAUGUGGACGGAGGACACAACCGAUGUGAAUAAUGCCCUUGUAGCACUAGAUCAAUAAAGGGUUCCUAGCAAUUUUUGUAAUUCCUUAAGCAUUGAUUCAAUACAUACAUAGGCAAUAAUCAGUUUAGAAACAGAGUGGUGAAUGAGUGUAACUGACUUGACUUAUGUGGAGACUGGGGAUAUUAUAUACACCUUCAAAUUAUUUUGUAUUAGUUUGGGUUUUGUUAGGUUUACAGAAGCUGCCCAGCGUAGCCCGACUGGCCUCUUGAAGACUAUAUGUUUUUAGGUUCUUAUUUUGUUGCGGUGAUGGCUUUGAUGGUAACAGUGGUGGUGAUGCUGUAAGCGGUAGGGAGGGAGGGAAUGGUGGUGAUGUUGAUAAUGUCAAACAUAACAGUAAGUGAUAUGUAUGAAGUAAAAUAGGAAUAGCAGUGGAUACUGAGUUGUUAGGAUUUAUUGUUAAUGUUUAGGACCAUUCAUUUAAGUGUGUGUGUGUGUGUGUAUGUGUGUAUAUCACUACAAUGCUAACUGUAAAGAUAAUGAGUAGAUAUAAUGUGUCUGUGUCAAUAAGUUUACUGCAUUAAUAAAAUGUGGAAAAUA
Long non-coding RNA from Eriocheir sinensis (Chinese mitten crab), 3328 nucleotides. RefSeq lists it as uncharacterized. The transcript is spliced from 3 exons. NCBI's taxonomy places the organism in Eukaryota, Metazoa, Arthropoda, Malacostraca, Decapoda, Varunidae. The record is from RefSeq and is a predicted model, not a curated record.